RNAcentral lists this ribosomal RNA (358 nucleotides) under uncultured eukaryote. RNAcentral describes it as "partial 18S ribosomal RNA". It matches the Rfam family "Eukaryotic small subunit ribosomal RNA", at positions 1470 to 1796 of the family's 1831-position model. The record is from RNAcentral.
CCCUUAGAUGUCCUGGGCCGCACGCGCGCUACACUGAUGCAUGCAGCGAGUUCUGAUCUGGUUUAUUCUUUCGGGAGAAACCUGACCUUGGCCGGAAGGCCUGGGGAAUCUGUGAACGUGCAUCGUGAUAGGGAUUGGCAUUUGCAAUUCUGUGCCAUAAACGAGGAAUUCCUAGUAAACGCAAGUCAUCAGCUUGCAUUGAUUACGUCCCUGCCCUUUGUACACACCGCCCGUCGCACCUACCGAUCGAAGGUAAUGAUGAGCCCUCAGGAUUGUUCCUCUCGCCGCGCAAGCGGUUUUAGGGAGGAGUGAGAAUUUGUGCAAAUCCCUACCUUUAGAGGAAGGUGAAGUCGUAACA